Non-coding RNA from Chryseolinea serpens, 105 nucleotides. It matches the Rfam family "Bacteroidales small SRP". Rfam says of the family: The non-coding component of the signal recognition particle in Bacteroides The record is from Rfam. NCBI's taxonomy places the organism in Bacteria, Pseudomonadati, Bacteroidota, Cytophagia, Cytophagales, Fulvivirgaceae.
UUUGCACCGGCAAAUCGGCACGACCAGCUCCUGCUGAACUCCCCCAGGACCGGAAGGGAGCAAGGGUAGGCGGUUGUAGCGGUGCGAUGUUCGGUUUGCCAUUUU